AUGGCCGCCAGGAAUUUCUUAGCCCGAUCCCCCAAGGAGGAGGAAUCCAGCGCUGCCGUCCGAGAGGCUGUCUUGUUGGGAGGGAAGAACGCCGCCAUUGCUGGUACUGUGGUCGCGGUUCCCACGUUGGUUGCUUGCCGUGUCCUUCCUUGGGCUAAGCAUAAUCUGAACUACACCGCACAAGCACUCAUCAUAUCGGCAGAACGAUGCAGCUGCCCUGAUACCGGGCCAGCCACUAGGGUGGCUCGAUCUUCACGAAUUGGAGGUCGAUUUGAGAAGCAACACAAGAAUCAAGGGCGAAAAAAGGGAAACCAAGAUGAAAAUCAUUCAAAGGACAAGAUCCACUCCAAUUACUCCUCAAAACGCAAGUCAAUCUAA
Molecule: ribosomal RNA, 378 nt
Filed under: Triticum aestivum (bread wheat)
Lineage: Eukaryota; Viridiplantae; Streptophyta; Magnoliopsida; Poales; Poaceae
Description: partial small subunit ribosomal RNA
Source: RNAcentral